GGCGGCGUGCUUAACACAUGCAAGUCGAGCGGUAAGGCCCUUCGGGGUACACGAGCGGCGAACGGGUGAGUAACACGUGGGUGAUCUGCCUCGCACUUCGGGAUAAGCCUGGGAAACUGGGUCUAAUACCGGAUAUGACCACUGGUCGCAUGGUUGGUGGUGGAAAGAUUUAUCGGUGCGAGAUGGGCCCGCGGCCUAUCAGCUUGUUGGUGGGGUAAUGGCCUACCAAGGCGACGACAGGUAGCCGGCCUAAGAGGGCGACCGGCCACACUGGGACUGAGACACGGCCCAGACUCCUACGGGAGGCAGCAGUGGGGAAUAUUGCACAAUGGGCGAAAGCCUGAUGCAGCGACGCCGCSUGAGGGAUGACGGCCUUCGGGUUGUAAACCUCUUUCGACAGGGACGAAGCGUAAGUGACGGUACCUGUAGAAGAAGCACCGGCCAACUACGUGCCAGCAGCCGCGGUAAUACGUAGGGUGCGAGCGUUGUCCGGAAUUACUGGGCGUAAAGAGCUUGUAGGCGGUUUGUCGCGUCGUCUGUGAAAACUCACAGCUCAACUGUGAGCUUGCAGGCGAUACGGGCAGACUUGAGUACUGCAGGGGAGACUGGAAUUCCUGGUGUAGCGGUGAAAUGCGCAGAUAUCAGGAGGAACACCGGUGGCGAAGGCGGGUCUCUGGGCAGUAACUGACGCUGAGAAGCGAAAGCGUGGGUAGCGAACAGGAUUAGAUACCCUGGUAGUCCACGCCGUAAACGGUGGGCGCUAGGUGUGGGUUUCCUUCCACGGGAUCCGUGCCGUAGCUAACGCAUUAAGCGCCCCGCCUGGGGAGUACGGCCGC
Molecule: ribosomal RNA, 836 nt
Filed under: Nocardia sp. IM-4166
Lineage: Bacteria; Bacillati; Actinomycetota; Actinomycetes; Mycobacteriales; Nocardiaceae
Description: bacterial SSU rRNA
Rfam family: Bacterial small subunit ribosomal RNA
Source: RNAcentral